Molecule: ribosomal RNA, 493 nt
Filed under: uncultured bacterium
Lineage: Bacteria
Description: partial 16S ribosomal RNA
Rfam family: Bacterial small subunit ribosomal RNA
Source: RNAcentral
AACGAACGCUGGCGGCGCGUCUUAAACAUGCAAGUCGAACGGCAGGAAGGGGCUUGCCCCUUCUGAGAGUGGCGGACUGGUGAGUAACACGUGGGUGACAUACCUUUUAGUUGGGGAUAGCUAUUAGAAAUAGUAGGUAAUACCGAAUGUGACCGUACCUGUUAGAGGGGUACGAGGAAAGGAGCUAAGGCUUCGCUAAAAGAAUGGCUCGCGGCCCAUUAUGCUCGUUGGUGAGGUAACGGCCCACCAAGGCGAUGAUGGGUAUCCGGCCUGAGAGGGUGAACGGACACAUUGGGACUGAGAUACGGCCCAGACUUCUACGGGCGGCAGCAGUUAAGAAUAUUCCGCAAUGGACGAAAGUCUGACGGAGCGACGCCGCGUGGAUGAAGAAUGCCGAAAGGUUGUAAAAUCCUUUUAAGCCUGAUGAAUAAGCACAGUAGGGAAUGAUUGUGCGGUGACCGUAGGGCUUGAAUAAGCACCGGCUAAUUACGUG